Molecule: small nuclear RNA, 108 nt
Filed under: Salvator merianae (Argentine black and white tegu)
Lineage: Eukaryota; Metazoa; Chordata; Lepidosauria; Squamata; Teiidae
Source: RNAcentral
GUGCUCGUUUCGGCAGCACGCAUAUACUGAAUUUGGAAGGUACGGAGAAGAUUAACAUGGUCACUGCACACAGAUGACACACAAAUUCGUGAAGCGUUCCAUAUUUAA